UCAUUUCUCGAGCACAGACAGAAACGCGCGCUCACGAGAACCUGCGCGCUCCCGUGAGUGAGGAGAAAGCGCUUCAGCUCCCGUCCAACUCACCGCUUCUCCAAACCUGUUGCCUUUUUCAUUUCUUUAUCAUCAUCAUCAUCAGCAGCAGCAGCAGCAUUAUUAUUAUUCCAGCCUGAGAGAAGGAGCGGAUCUAUGAGGUACUGAAUAACAAUUUUUUUUUUCUUCAUGAAAAUGUUUCAUUCGGAUUUAAAGCGUCGAAUUGAGAUGUUUCGCGCGACUUGAAGCAGAAUUCGGAGCGUUUCGGAGGUUUGGCUUGUGAUUAAUGAAGAGCAUCCGCCCUUCUGUGUACCUGAGUACCGGUAAAUCAUCGAGCAGAAGAAACACGGGAAUAAAAUGCGUGAGGAGGAAUAACAGAGGAGAAGAGGAAUAACAGAGGAGAGGAGGAGUAACAGAGGAGAAGAGGAAUAACAGAGGAGAGGAGGAAGAGGAGCGGAGGAAUAACUGAGGAGAGGAGGAAUAAAUGAAGAGAGGAGGAAUAACAGAGGAGAAGAGGAAUAACAGAGGAGAAGAGGAAUAACAGAGGAGAAGAGGAAGAGGAGCGGAGGAAUAACUGAGGAGAGGAGGAGUAACAGAGGAGAGGAGGAAUAAAUGAAGAGAGGAGGAAUAACAGAGGAGAGGAGGAAGAGGAGCGGAUAUCCUGUCUCCUGUUUGCUUUGAUGUUUCGGAGAAAACUAAUCCCAGGAACGGAAACGACACCAGCUACAGGAGUUUAUUAUCAGCGGAAUGAAAAGAAAACACACCACAAGUCGUGUUAUUUUCCAUUUUAAUACCACACACACACACACACACACAGGUUUAUGAAGGACUGAUAUAACACAGACUGAUCCCUGAAGCUGAUCUCACCUCAGGACUCGUGAAGAUCCAUGAUGUUUGAUGUUGGUAAUGAAUCAUGGGCUAAAAUCUUCAGAUAAAUCCACUUCAGUAAACAACUGUGGUUUUUUUUUAAUGGAAAUUUUGCCACUAAAAAUCAAGAACAAGACCACGAAGUUCUGUCUUUGGUUCUUUCUUUGCCAGCCGUCAUGUGAACUUCUCGUCUGCUUCUCUCCACACACACACACACCACAGUGAUAAAGACUACAGCUGAACUCCACAAACAUGCGUUUCCAUGGAUUCAUUGCUAAAUCCGAUUCCCAGAGUACGGAUUAAUCCGAAUCGUGAACUUCUUGUCCUCAUUGAUGGAGUUUCACCACUGAUAAACAUGACUCUCUUUUGAUUUCCAUUUUCUCAGUGGGGUUUCUUCCUGCUAUCUCUUCCCACGUUGAGCGGGUCUACAUGGCCGAUGAGCAUUCAGGGCCCGCAUGCUUCCAGCUAAAGAUGGUGACGUUCGGCUCGAGCCCUCCCAAAACUCCAUGAUGGCGAACCCGAAGAAGAUGGACCUGAUCAUCCCAUACUUCGCCGACGUACCGUGCGACAGUAAUGGCCAGCGCAUGUGGUGGGCCUUCCUCGCCUCGUCCAUGGUUACGUUCUUCGGCGGCCUCUUCAUCAUCCUGCUGUGGAGGACGGUCCGGUACCUGUGGACCGUCUGCUGCCACUGCAACACCAAAAAAAAGGAUGUUCAGCGGGUCAGCAGUGUGGAGAAGAAGGAAAGUACGGUGGUCAGUGAGGUGGGCUGGAUGACCUCGGUGAAAGACUGGGCCGGGGUCAUGAUCUCCGCACAGACACUCACCGGACGCGUGCUGGUGGUGCUGGUGUUCGUCCUCAGUAUCGGAGCGCUCGUCAUUUACUUCAUCGACUCCUCCAAUCCGAUCGAGUCGUGUCAACACUUUGAUAAAGACUUUACACUGCAGAUAGACAUGGCCUUCAACAUCUUCUUCCUGCUCUACUUCGGCCUGCGCUUCAUCGCGGCGAACGAUAAGCUGUGGUUCUGGUUGGAGGUGAACUCGGUGGUGGAUUUCUUCACCGUGCCGCCGGUGUUUGUGUCUGUGUAUCUGAACAGGAGCUGGCUGGGUCUGAGGUUUUUAAGAGCCUUACGACUGAUACAGUUCUCUGAAAUAUUACAGUUUUUAAAUAUCCUGAAAACUAGCAAUUCUAUAAAGUUGGUGAACUUGUGCUCGAUCUUUAUUAGCACAUGGCUAACCGCUGCAGGCUUCAUACACUUGGUGGAAAACUCAGGAGAUCCGUGGGAAAACUUCCAGAAUUUCCAGCAGCUGUCCUACUGGGAGUGUGUGUAUUUGCUCAUGGUGACGAUGUCCACUGUGGGUUACGGAGACGUGUGUGCUAAAACUACACUCGGACGCCUCUUCAUGGUCUUCUUCAUCCUCGGAGGACUGGCCAUGUUUGCCAGCUACGUCCCUGAAAUCAUAGAAUUAAUAGGAAACCGUAAGAAAUAUGGCGGUUCCUAUAGUGCAGUAAAUGGGAGAAAGCAUAUUGUGGUGUGCGGUCACAUCACUCUGGAAAGUGUUUCCAACUUCCUCAAAGACUUCCUUCACAAGGACAGGGAUGAUGUCAAUGUAGAAAUUGUUUUUCUCCAUAAUAUUUCCCCUAAUCUUGAGUUGGAAGCCUUAUUCAAGCGCCACUUCACUCAGGUAGAGUUCUACCAGGGCUCCGUCCUAAAUCCACACGAUCUGGCCCGAGUCAAGAUUGAAUCAGCAGACGCAUGUUUAAUUUUAGCCAAUAAAUACUGCGCAGACCCCGACGCUGAGGAUGCGUCCAACAUCAUGAGAGUGAUAUCUAUUAAAAACUACCAUCCAAAGAUCCGCAUCAUCACCCAGAUGCUUCAGUAUCACAAUAAGGCUCACUUGUUGAACAUCCCGAGCUGGAACUGGAAGGAAGGUGAUGAUGCGAUUUGUCUGGCAGAACUGAAGCUGGGAUUCAUCGCUCAGAGCUGCUUAGCGCAGGGGCUCUCCACCAUGCUGGCUAAUCUCUUCUCCAUGAGGUCAUACAUUAAGAUUGAAGAGGACACGUGGCAGAAGUAUUACCUGGAAGGAGUAGCUAAUGAAAUGUACACUGAGUAUCUGUCCAGUGCUUUUGUGGGUUUAUCGUUCCCCAUGGUGUGUGAGUUGUGUUAUGUGAAGCUGAAGCUCCUCCUGAUAGCCAUCGAGUAUAAAUCUGAUCAGAGAGAGAGCAGUACACUUAUUAACCCGGGCAAUCAUGUAAAGAUGCAGGAAGGAACACUGGGUUUCUUUAUCGCCAGCGAUGCCAAAGAAGUAAAGAGAGCUCUUUACUACUGCAAAGCUUGUCAUGAUGACAUCUCAGACCCCAAAAGGAUAAAGAAGUGCGGCUGCAAACGACCCAAGAAGGCGGGCAGCCGCCGAAUGCGCCUGGCGUGUUGUUUAGGUUGCGGCGAGGCUGAGCACGGCUGCUCGUGCACGUCUCGCAGCACUCGUAGUAACAUGGAGACUCCGCCAUGUGCCUUGCCUCUUUCUCCCACCUCUGUUAGUGAUAAGUCGGCCACUUUACGCUCCUCUAAAAGUAACUAUAACGGAUAUAUCAAAUCAACGAUGGACGCUCCGGCGGUGCAGCAAUCCGCUCUGUCACCUAAGAAAAAACAACGCAAUGGAGGAAUGAGAACUUCACCCAACUGCUCUCCAAAAACUAUACGGCACGACCCUGUGCUGAUCCCCAGCCAUGAUCAGAUGGAGACGAUGGACGAUAACGUGAAGAGGUACGACUCCACUGGAAUGUUCCACUGGUGUCCAGCCAAAGACAUUGAGAAGGUCAUACUGACCCGUAGCGAGGCAGCCAUGACGGUUCUAAGCGGUCACGUGGUAGUGUGUAUUUUCGGCGAUGUGAAGUCAGCCGUGGUGGGUCUGAGGAACCUGGUGAUGCCUCUACGAGCGAGUAACUUCCACUACCAUGAGCUGAAACACAUUGUGUUUGUGGGAUCACUGGAGUACUUGAAGAGGGAAUGGGAGACGUUACACAACUUCCCUAAAGUCUCCAUUUUACCUGGAACUCCUCUGAGCAGGGCGGAUCUGAGAGCCGUCAACAUUAACCUUUGUGACAUGUGUGUGAUCCUGUCAGCCAAUCAGAACAACAUCGAUGAUGCAUCUCUGCAGGAUAAAGAGUGUAUCCUCGCCUCGCUCAACAUCAAAUCCAUGCAGUUUGAUGACAGUAUAGGCCUUCUACAGGCCAACUCACAGGGUUUCACUCCCCCUGGGAUGGACCGCUCGUCUCCUGAAAACAGUCCUGUCCAUGGUCUGGAGCGACAAAGUUCCAUCAGUACGGGAGCUAACAUCCCCAUCAUCACUGAGCUCGCUAAGUCAGACAGGCUGCUGAACGCAGUGUGUGUGAGACAGGACAAGAGCUGCGGAACCAACAUCCCAAUGAUCACUGAACUGGUAAAUGACUCCAAUGUUCAGUUCCUGGAUCAGGAUGAUGAUGAUGAUCCGGACACUGAGCUCUACCUCACACAGCCCUUCGCCUGUGGAACCGCCUUCGCCGUCAGCGUGCUCGACUCACUGAUGAGUGCCACGUACUUUAACGACAAUAUUCUAACGUUAAUAAGGACGUUAGUGACGGGCGGGGCCACUCCCGAGCUCGAGGGUUUGUUAGCGGAGGAGAACGCACUGCGAGGUGGCUACAGCGACACACACACACUCGCCAACAGGGACCGGUGUCGAGUGGCACAGCUCGCCCUUUACGACGGGCCAUUCGCCCAGCUCGGGGAAGGUGGGUGUUAUGGCGAUUUAUUCUGUAAAGCGUUAAAGACCUACAACAUGCUGUGUUUCGGGAUUUACCGUUUACGAGACGCUCACCUGAGCGCUCCGAGUCAGUGCACCAAACGCUACGUGAUCACCAACCCUCCGUACGAGUUCGAGUUGGUCCCCACAGACCUGAUCUUCUGUUUAAUGCAGUUCGAUCACAACGCGGCUCAGUGCCGCUCCACGCUCUCACACUCCUCACACUCCUCACACUCGUCCAGUAAAAAAAGCUCAUCCGUGCACUCCAUCAGCACCAAACACACCAAGAGCCGAGAGCCACGAGACAAACCCAAGUACGUUCCCCUUUAACACACUCUCUCUCUCUCUCUCUCUCUCUCUCUGUCUAUCUGUCUCUCUUUAUCUGUCUUUCUCUCUGUAGUGUUGUUUCCAUCCAUCUGUUUGAAAUUUAAAUAUAGAAACAUCAGAAAUAACGCCUCAGUAUCACUCGUCUGAGGUUUCAGCUGGAAGUGUGAUCAAAACACUGUCUGGAGUAAACAAUUUAAUGUUUAAAACUGCAUACUACUGUUCUAAAUAGUGUCAUUUGCAUACCAUAUUUAAAUAUUUCUCUAAACAAGUCACUUAUUUAUCGAAUAAAUUGACCAUAAUAACUAUACUGCCUUUAAAACUACACAUCACCGCCUCCUACUGGUGAUGUUUAACUUUCUUUAAAUCCCGUUUUUGUCCUAAACGUCUCCGGAAAUAAACUGAAAAUAAUUUCAGGUGAAUUAGAAAAGCAAAAAGUGUCAUAUCUUAAUCUUAAGAAAGGAAAAAAAACAACAUAAGGACAGUAAAUAGAUCAUUUUUGGAUUUUCCUUUGACUAAAGUCCUGAGAACAUUGUUGCUAGGCAACUGGGAAAUAUGGACGCCAAGCACAAUUUGACUAAACAAUAAAGCUAACAAUGUAGCUAGCUGUGAUGUAGCUUUCAAGUCUUUUAUGCAGACACAGUCACCAUGGAAACGAAACAGAACAAUCCGAAACGUCAACAUUUACCUCAGAUGUGUUGUUAAAUUACUAAAAAUAAUCUUCCGUAUGCCUAAAAUUACUCUAUUUACAAUUAGCAUCAACUUAAACAUUAAACAAGCCUCUGUACUGAGAAACUGAGAAGUAUAGCUACAGGUGGUGGGUAGUUGUCAUGGUAACAAGGAAAGCCUUGUUGUGGCUACAUUUCUAAGCUGACUAUAUACCAAGGUUAGCGAUGUAGCUAGCUGUGAAGUAGCGGUUAAGUCUUUUACGCAGACACAGUGACCGUGGAAAUGAAACAGAACAAUCCGAAAUGUCAACAUUUACCUCAGAUGUGUUGUUAAAUUGCUAAAAAAAACUUCUGUAUGCCUAAAAUUACACUAUUUACAGUUAGCAUUGACGGCUAAAGAACCCUCUGUACUGAGAAAUGGUAGCAUGUUGUCAAGGUAACGGGGAAAGCCUUGUCAUGGCUAUUUAUAGCUUGAGUAGUAAAUCCUGUGAUCUUGUGAAGGCGGCAUACAGUUUUCACCUACUAUUUAGUGCAGGUGUGUGCGGUUUUGGACAUGGCUGUGUGUGCGCGCGCGCGCGCGCGCGCGUGUGUGUGUGUGUGUGUGUGUGUGUAUGGGGCGCUUUUUGAUGACAUCAUCAUGUUGCUUCUCUAAAGUAUAUUUAAUAUAACAGCAGUUGAUGGAAACACACAUCACCCUGGAAUAGAAUUUAUGACAUUUAUGACAUUGAAUGAAAUCAGUGCCUGUGUGAGGUGUUCUGUGUGUGUGCGUGUGAGUGUGUGUGUGUGUGAGUGUGAGUGUGUGUGUGAGUGUGUGUGUGAGUGUGUGUGUGAGUGUGUGUGUGUGUGUUCUUCAGUAUGGACGUGCCAUUUGCUUCUUCACAUCAGACUCAGUGUCACAUCACACACACCCAUGUUAAUGUUUCUGUUUGUUUUUGUUUUUUUUUAUGUUUGAGCCACAGUUUGUGUUAAAAGGGUUGUGUUUGUGUUAAAACCGUUUUGGUUGCUAUGGAAACAGAGAUCAUUUUGCACUGAAACUGCACUUUAAGCAUCUCAUAACGCCGCGACAUGGACGUGUUCAUGAACAUCCUCAUUAACUCACUGACGCGCCUUUUUCUGUCUUCAGCCGUGUCAUCUCAUCUUCAUUUCUUUCUAAAUGAACAUCUCACUCACGUCAGAGCGUUAAAUUAAAAUCCCACGGAUUUAUCGCGUACCUAAGGAAUAAAAACACGACACGGUGGUGCUGUGAAGUUGAUUAGUUUCCUCUAACAGCACAUCCCCAAGUGUUUUAUUCCUCUUACACCACAGCAACUUACCAUCAGUCAAAAUUUUUAUUUAUUAAAGAAUGACACGUCAUACUUUUUAUCUGUUUAUAGCUACAUUUAAUAUUGGUGAAAUGAGUUAGUUCCUGUUCUCGCUUACGUUAUAGCAGCUAUAAACAUUUCUUUCUCUCUCUUGAAGUUAAUAAGACAAAUAAACGCAGCUUGUUGUCUUUUGUUACCGACAAACCGCAAAGAAGCGUAAACUCCUCUGUCCUGAAGCCGUCGGAAAACUUAACGUUACAGCUUUACCUCUGACUGUUACAAAGCGCUGACACUGGAGACUCCUUCCAUAAACUUUACCAUGGCAAUGAUUACACGUGUUUUUUUUUUACACGUUUAUGUGGAGUGGCUGCGUGUUGUAGAAAAUUAACCAACACCUUUUUUGACCAAUCAGAAUCCAGAAUUCGACGGUGUUGUGGUGUAAAUGCUUUCUUUACAAUUGAUAAGUUUAUAAGUACAGUGUUUCUAAGUUCUGCUCCUUGUGUGUGUGUGUGUGUGUGUGUGUGUGUGUGUGUGAAAGACAAUAAACAGGAAGUAGUAAUACGUAAAAGCACAGCUUUAUACAUCAUGUUUAAAAGGAAACACACAGCUAUAGGGGGCGCUCUCACCAAUCAGCUGCGAGGUUCUGUUUACUCGACGUUGUGUAGAAAAACGUCUAAAUUAUUUCUUACGUAUUAAUUUCAGUAAUCUCAUACAUACGAUAAAAUCGUAAAUCAUCAAGUGUUCGUAAUGUGCGUCGUGUUACUGCUCAUUUAAAUACAGACACACCCAAAAUUAACCAUAUAUGGUAUAUAGGAUUUGCUUUGAAACGUAACUUUUCUAACAUUUUAUUAAUGCGAAGCAAAAAACGCAAAAGAAACUCUUUGCUGAAGUAGAGACUUUGAUUUUGAUCAUUUAAGUAAAGAGUUAUUAAGUUUCUGUGUUUGUAAUUUUUAAGAAAUUUAAUGAAUGACAAAUACGUCAUAAAAAUAGGCCCGUUCUCUGAAAACUCGCCCACAAAUAUUAUACUCUGAGCAUUUUAUGGGAUUUGAGCGUAAAGACAAACUUGUUUAUAUUUAACACUGAUUAGCUUCAUACGCAAUUUAGUGUACUAGCAUUCUACGUAAAGCUUACGUUACUCAUGACACUCAUGACUUUGUUUUUCACAGCUCCUGCAAAACAGACGUUAUUUCACACAUUCGUUGAUGAAUAAAGGCUGUGGAGCUUUCCAGGAUUUCACAAGUUCAUUUUGCUCUCAGAAAUGUCCCACCAAUCACGAGCCAGGAUUUAAGGGCGUGGCAGAGUGUAGUGUAUUUUAUUUAACUGUUAAUUAGGGACAAAUUCUUAUUUACAGAAAAGUGUAGGGAAGAAAAUUAUAACAUCAAACAUAGAAAUGUAUAAAUUAAGAAGGUACAUAUAUCAGUAAAAUGUCCUUAAUUUUAGAGUUUUUUUUAAAUAGAGAAACAAAUUCUGAAACUUUUAGGAAUAAAUCCAGCAGAUUGAUCAGACUUGAUGAAGAAACCUAAUGAUAGUUUAGAUUUAGGAAUGUUUAUCAAAUAUGGAGAGCAAGAACUUAGUGUUCUACUACACACACACACACACACACACACACACACACACACACACACACACACUGGAGGUAAUACAGUUAACAUUAUGUGCAAUUUGUAAAAAAAUCAGAGUUGGGAAUGUUUUUAAAACGUUUUUAUUCAUGAAAAUAAAUCACGAACUACAGUGGGCCGUAUACGGACUACGAAGCCUUUAAGGCUAUUUCUUACAGCUGUUAAAGUAACAUUUAUAGAAUAAUUAUGAACUUUAAUAAAACAAUUUCAGAACUUGAACUUAAACGCUGCAUUUGAGGGAAUAUUUCAAUCCAUUUUUUAAUAUUUAAUCCAUCAAGUAGCGUGAUAGCUUCACUCUCAUGCCUUGUCCUUGCCUCAUGUGGACACAGAGGUGGUGCGAUUACACACAACAAAACAAAAGCUUACGUGCUAAUUUAACCUGCCAGAAUUAAAGAAAUCCCCUUUUCAGUGCCAUGGAGAACUCAGCCAGGUGUGCCAAAACACUAAAAACGUCAAUAUUUAAUAGAAAAUAAUCACAGUGUGCUGCCAAUAUAAAAACAAACAGGCUACAUGCCUAACUGUCAGACUAAGAAACAGUCUGCUUUGAUGACGGGCUUCUGUUUUCUUUUUCUUUCAUUUGGCUAGCUGAAGUUUUCACGCUGAAGUAGAUUACUGGUGCGUGGUGACAUUCUGAAAAGCCGUGCAUGGAUUAAGGAGACUGGAAUCAGGAUCAUCACACGCUGUCGUCUCUACUGUGACGCGAGCCGGAGCGCUGAGAGUCCAUUUCUGAUUUCGUUGUUGUUCGUAUGAUCACGUUGCAGCGUUUUACUUAGCUAUAUUUUUAAAAAUAUAUUUGUUUUAGAUGUUUUACGUGGUCUAUUGGUGAAACAUCGCACCCAUGAUAUGAGGACAAGUGUGUAGGGAGUAGUGAUGUGUGUGUGUGUGUGUGUGUGUGUGUGUGUGAAGUGCUAAAGGAGCAGAAGUGACAGAACCACUGAACACUUUUACCGUGUUAACAUCCACAUUCACGUCGUUUCUCAUUUCCCCCUCACGUGAAGAACACGGCUUAAGUUUCACCACGUUCUUCUGCUCAUGAGACACCAGCAAGCUUUAAUCAGGAACUCUCAUCAGGAACUCUCAUCAGGAACUCUAAUCAGGAACUCUCAUCAGGAACUCUCAUCAGGAAGAGAGUGUAAAAUGUCUCCCUCAGUGACCCGACUCAGCUCAGCUCAGGGUGUGAACUGUGUUUUGUGUCACGUCUUUAACAGGAGCUCCUCUGAAAGCUCCUCUGAAAGAGCUCCUCCUGAACACAGUGAGAUGUUUAGCUAGCUGGGUUCUGGAGCGUGAGAACUGACUCGUGUCUGAUCUCUAAUCGUGAUUAGACCUCUAUUACAUUUCAACGUUUACUAUUAUAUCAGAAUGUUAUUAUAAUUAUCCGUAAAAAAAAAUCACAAUCUUCAUCUGUUUCCUUCACGAACUUCAAAAUAUUGGCCAUGAUGAGUGAAAACAGUCACAAGACCAAAAUAGAACUUCUGAUUGGUCUGACACUGUGUGUAAACCCUAAAGAACCCUUAAAGGUUUUAUGCAGCAAAGUGUUUUCUCUCAGACAGGGAACUAAGCAGAACCCUUUAACUAUCCAGAGAACCAUUCUGGAUCCUUCUGGACUGUGAACUGUAUGUAUAUAUAUAUGUAGUACACUCUUAAAUAUUCUGAACCUUUAAAGGUUCUUCAGUUGCUCCUCUGAGGGAACCCUUAAAGCUCCUAUGUUAAACCUUACAAUGAAGUCUUUUCACAGAAAGUGCUGCAAGUAGAACCAUAUUUCUGAAACUAAGAAUCCUUAAAGAACCACUGAAGAACCCUAUUUUUUGAAGACUGUAACAGGGUAGGUGUUAUUAACAGGGUAGGUCCAAAUUAUUCUUCAUUAAUUUUUUCUUAAGUCCUAGAACCUCUCUGAACUGUCUCGGUGCUUAAACGGUUCCGUGAAUAAUGAAAGGUUCUUAGCUUCUUAAAAGGAACGCUCUCAGAAAAACACUCAGCUGUAAUGAGUAAGGGUUCUUCAUUUUCUGAAACAGGUUCUAUUUGGAACCUUCAUUUGUAGGUAAACGGUUAGAGGGUUCUGUAUUAUUUAAGGGUUCUUUGGAUAGUUCAUUGGAUAGCUCUUUCUGAGAGUUCCUCAACUGCGCUGUUGUAGGGUUCUAUGUAGAAGCUUUUACCUGUUCUAUGUAGAACGCAAUAAGAGAACAGUCACAGGUUCUUGGUUCCUGUAAAGAGGAUUCUGUCUGAAAAGUCUUAACUGCUCUUUUUAUAGGGUUCUACAUAGAACCAGGGGGCCAAACAAAGAACCGUUAUGGGUUCUAGAUCAAUUUAUCAGCACCAUUUAGACAGUAAACAGAUUUUAUUCUGUUUAAACUGAAGAUGAAGAAGAAUUUAAUUUUUUAAUGAUUUAUAAUUUUUUUUUAAAAUGUUCCUAAUGUUGCCUGAUAAAGUGAGCGGUGUAUCACGAGCAUGAGAGUCACUGCCUCGUGAAAAGACCGUAAUUAUUUAAUCAAACAUUAAAUUAAAAUAAACUUAAUCAAACAUUAUUAUUUAAUGUCUCUGCGUGAGAACCGAUAUGAAACUCCAUUCCUGAGCCAUCAUGCAGCUUCGUGUCCACAGUCUGAACGUUCCUGAUGCUAGAACCCACUUUAUUCUGGUUAACGAGUGACUGAUGUUAAGGGUCUGAUAAUAAACACACACACACACACACACACACACACACACACGUUCUAGCUGAUAGAGUGUGCAGCGUAAGCAUCAGCGUUCUGUGUGAUUAGAGCUGAUUUAUCAUCAGAUCCUUUAGACCACACGUCAUUAAACUGAGCUGUUUAUGUUUUAACAGUUGCUGAGCGAAUGUGGACUGUGUCUAUGUGCACCGUGGAUGAGUUGAGGGGUCGCAGGACCAGUCCAACGCUGCUCUCAUUCCUCCAAUCAAAGGCAAGAGGAAGUGAAGUGAGGACCAAUCACAUCGCAGGAACCCUUUGGAGUUACAGAUUGUGCUGCUUUGAGUGUGAGAUCACUCAGUCAUAACUCGCAAUAAUGAAACAUCAUCGUUUCCAUUUAGCUACGAGAGUUAUUAAUUAGUCAUGCACCGAUUCUCAGGUUUUAUUUUUAACGCUAAACUGACACGGACGUCCUGUCAGUCACCAAAACGUCUCGUUUCGUUAUCAUAACGCAAACGCAGAAAAAUUCUCAGGCUUUCAUUGACCGUAUGUUCAGACGCUAACCUGACAAAGAGCUGUGUAAUUGUAAAAAAGGGGCGUGGCUAAUUAAAUUGCAGGGUGUUUUUGACCAUCUUAACAGACAGUAACCAAACAAAGUGUGGUGUAAUUGGAAAAAGGGGCGUGGUCAAUAAAUUCUUAAGAUUUUCUUGAAUGUAUGUGGAGACAGUAGUUAUAAAGUGCAACGUAAUUAUAAAAAGGGGCGUGGUUAAUUACAUUCUUUGUGUUUUCUUGACCAUGAUGAAGCGUGUAACCUGACAGAGCAGUGUAAUUGUAAAAAAAAGGGGCGUGGUCAAUAAAUUCUUAGAAUUUUCUUGACAAUCAUAAAGAGCGUAACUUUUUGAAGAGCAAUGUGAUUGUAAAAAGGGGCGUGGCUAAUUAAAUUCUUUGUGUUUUCUUGAAGCAUGUACCCUGACAAAGAGCUGUGUAAUUGUAAAAAGGGGCGUGGCUAAUUAAAAUGCAGGGUUUGCUUGACCAAAGUGAAGCGUGUAACCUGACAAAGUGUGGUGUAAUUAAGGGGCGUGGCUAAUUAAAUUCUUCGUGUUUUCUUGACCAUUGUGAAGCCUGACAAAGUGUGGUGUAAUUGAAAAAAGGGGCGUGGUCAAUAAAUUCUUAGGAUUUUCUUGACAAUCAUAAAGAGCAUAACUUAGUGAAGAGCAAUGUGAUUGUAAAAAAGGGGCGUGGCUAAUACAUUCUCAGGCUUUUAUUGACCGUACGUGCAGACAGUAACCCGAUACAGUGCGACGUAAGUGUAAAAAAGGGGCGUGGCUAAUUAAAUUCUUUGUGUUUUCUUGAUCAUCGUGAAGUGUAUAGCAUGACAAAGAGUGGUGUAACUGGAAAAAGGGGCAUGGUCAAUAAAUUAUUGGGAUUUUCUUGACAAUCAUAAAGAGCGCAACUUGGUGAAGAUCAAUGUGAUUGUAAAAAAGGGGCGUGGCUAAUAAAUUCUCAGACUUUUAUUGACCGUAUGUGCAGACAGUAACCCGAUACAGUGCGAGGUAAGUGUAAAAAGGGGCGUGGCUAAUUAAUUGCAGGGUUUUCUUGACCAUCUUCGCAGACAGUAACCUGCGAAGGAAAAAGGGGGCGUGGCUAAUCGUUUCAGUGAGCCUGUGUCCACUGGAGCCUCCUGUUCUUGUUCUGCCCCAAGGUUCGACGUGUUGUUCAUUCUGAGAUGUUUUUCUGUUCACCACGGUUGUAAAGAGUGAUUAUUUGAGUUAACGUAGCCUUGAUUCUUGGGGUUUUCUUAGCCAUUGGUGCCGACGUGAUGUAAUGGUAAAAAGGGGCGUGGCCAGGCGAGAUCCUGUAUGUGGAAGUGGCGUGACAUAAUGUAAAUAUUUAUGCAAGAAAUGAAACAGAAUUUUUACGACUGUGUUUGAAGGGAAAAUUUCAGAUCUCAAUAUCAGCCAAUAUUUUAAAACGUCUCACUUCCUGUCGCGCGGCUCCGCCCACCUCCGUCAAUUAUCUGAUAAAAAAUGAAUACUGGUUUAAUACUGACACUCGGUGCGUGGCUAAUUAUUAACGUUAAACUUCAUUCAGUGCUACGUGUUAAAGAUGAAUGUGUGUAUAAAGUGUAAAUAAGAGGCAGAGUGCUCAUUAGCAUCGAGCGCUUCAGGCUUCGCUAGCAUAUUUAUUUAUUUCAGACGUAAAAGACACAUUCUCAAAAUGUUAGCAUGUGAAUUAUUUUUCUGAAACUCGCCGAUCUGCAAAUGUGGAGAACACGUGAUGCCUUAAAUCCAAUAAAUACAAACAAAAAAAAAAACAAUUCUUAGAAAGCAAAUUUGCUAAAUAUCGAUGUUGCCUUAGCUCUGUGAUUUAAACGACUUUACACAUUUAUCUUUAACUUUAUUAACAUUUUUAAAUUAACUACCAAAAGCAUAGGCUGCUAGCUAGUUGGCUAACAUUUAGCUAGAUGGAAAUGUACCUAGUGUUACUCUUGCUAGCUAACAAAACAAUACUAGCGCCAGUGAACUUGUGUUUGUGUUUGAAGUUUUAAAAUGAUUAAUUGUUUUAUUUAAUGAGUUAUUUUCUGUUUACAGUUACAUGUAUUAGCUACACUAGUUUAGCUAACUGGAUGUUAGCAAUGUGCUAAUUUCUUAUUCGGUAAAAUACAGGAAUAAUUCAAGUUUACAUUUAAGUAUAAAAACUGAUCUACCGGCUAUGAGCUAGCUAGCUAAUGUUAGCUACAUGGAUAAAUGGCUACGCUUGGUAGCUAAGAGCAAGAUAACCUUAUGAACGUUUUUUUUUCUUAAAAUAUAUAUA
RNA transcript from Pangasianodon hypophthalmus (striped catfish), 14050 nucleotides. It is a transcript of the gene named calcium-activated potassium channel subunit alpha-1, with no coding region annotated. The transcript has 32 exons. The record is from RefSeq and is a predicted model, not a curated record. Lineage: Eukaryota; Metazoa; Chordata; Actinopteri; Siluriformes; Pangasiidae.